This 290-nucleotide ribosomal RNA is filed under the name uncultured Bacillota bacterium. RNAcentral describes it as "uncultured Firmicutes bacterium partial 16S ribosomal RNA". The stretch from base 96 to 290 matches the Rfam family "Bacterial small subunit ribosomal RNA", at positions 50 to 262 of the family's 1533-position model. Lineage: Bacteria; Bacillati; Bacillota. The record is from RNAcentral.
CGGCCGCGUCGACGUAGAGUAUACCAAGGGGCGCGAGAUAACUCUCUCUAAGGAACUCGGCAAAAUGGCCCCGUAACUUCGGGAGAAGGGGUACCUACGCAAGUAGGUCACAGUGAAGAGUCCCAGGCGGACGGGUGAGUAACGCGUGGGUAACCUGCCCUGUACACACGGAUAACAUACCGAAAGGUAUGCUAAUACGGGAUAACAUAUGGAAUUCGCAUGUUUUCCAUAUCAAAGCUUCAGCGGUACAGGAUGGACCCGCGUCUGAUUAGCUUGUUGGUGAGGUAACG